RNAcentral lists this ribosomal RNA (743 nucleotides) under Pseudogymnoascus sp. RNAcentral describes it as "partial large subunit ribosomal RNA". It matches the Rfam family "Eukaryotic large subunit ribosomal RNA", at positions 75 to 839 of the family's 3401-position model. Lineage: Eukaryota; Fungi; Ascomycota; Leotiomycetes; Thelebolales; Thelebolaceae. The record is from RNAcentral.
UUACCUCAGUAACGGCGAGUGAAGCGGUAACAGCUCAAAUUUGAAAUCUGGCCUCACGGUCCGAGUUGUAAUUUGUAGAGGAUGCUUCGAGCAUGGUCUGGCCUAAGUUCCUUGGAACAGGACGUCAUAGAGGGUGAGAAUCCCGUAUGCGGCCAGGUGCCUACGCUCAUGUGAAGCUCCUUCGACGAGUCGAGUUGUUUGGGAAUGCAGCUCAAAAUGGGUGGUAAAUUUCAUCUAAAGCUAAAUAUUGGCCAGAGACCGAUAGCGCACAAGUAGAGUGAUCGAAAGAUGAAAAGCACUUUGGAAAGAGAGUUAAACAGUACGUGAAAUUGUUGAAAGGGAAGCGCUUGCAACCAGACUUGCGCGCGGCCGAUCAUCCGGUGUUCUCACCGGUGCACUCGGCCGUGCUCAGGCCAGCAUCGGUUUUGGCGGCUGGAUAAAGGCCCUAGGAAUGUAGCUCCUCUCGGGGAGUGUUAUAGCCUAGGGUGCAAUGCAGCCUGCUGGGACCGAGGACCGCGCUUCGGCUAGGAUGCUGGCGUAAUGGUUGUAAGCGGCCCGUCUUGAAACACGGACCAAGGAGUCUAACAUCUAUGCGAGUGUUUGGGUGUCAAACCCAUACGCGUAAUGAAAGUGAACGGAGGUGAGAACCCUUAAGGGUGCAUCAUCGACCGGUCCUGAAGUUUACGGAAGGAUCUGAGUAAGAGCAUAGCUGUUGGGACCCGAAAGAUGGUGAACUAUGCCUG